Molecule: long non-coding RNA, 1280 nt
Filed under: Mus spicilegus (steppe mouse)
Lineage: Eukaryota; Metazoa; Chordata; Mammalia; Rodentia; Muridae
Description: lncRNA (ENSMSIG00000026279.1)
Source: RNAcentral
ACAGUUUAACUGCAGGUGGGCGAUUCUGGGAGACUCAGGCUCAGGACCCAGUCUUUCAUGUGACUGGAGGGCCAUCUUGUUCCAGAAGUUUCUUGGAUCACCCUUCUGGAGGCUUGCCAAGGCAGUGACUUGCUGUGGUCAGUCACUGUUUAGCUGGAAAGCUAGCGCCACCUGCUGGCUUAGAAGUCCCAUAUUUGGGUCCAGGACAGGAUCUACCCAUCUAGGGAAAACUCCCCAACGGUCUCAACAAUGUUGCCAAUUAGAUCUAUCUUUGACUUAGACAAAAGGAACCCACCCUAGAGCAAGCUUUAGAAUCUCAGUAUCAUUAUAGCCACCUCCCAUGAAACACAGCAAAGCCCACAAGGACUCCGGCACAGAGUGGCUCUAAUGCUAAACCUCUGCUCCAGUGAACACCACUACACGGAACUCAAGGAAGGACUCCUCCACAGGGCUGUGGCCUUGAAGCCACAGGCUUUACCCCAGAGCUGAUAUGACUUGCAGGCUGUUGAGCUGGGAGCAUUUGGAAAGGAGAAGAUUCGAAAUAAUCUGCUUUACUAAUCUCCUUUAAAACAAAACAAAACAAACCAAAACCAAAACAGAGCAUCCAUUUCUCAUUAGUGCGUCCAGAAAGUGCUAGAGAGGAACAGGACACUCAUGGCAGCCGCCUGUGGUGUCUAAAAAGCACUUUUCAAUGUAAAGCUGUUUGUGCCACUGUAAAGGUUUGCUUGUUUUUAAUUGUAUUUCAUUCUUUGUUGUCGGGAUACAUCCAUGUGGAAGUUCUCCUGCUGGGCUUAGAGCACAACUCUUAGGAGUUGCUUCUCCCCUUCCACAGUGAAGGUUCUGGGGCUCAAACUCAGAUCACCUGAGACCAGCAGGCAUCUUUAUACCAGCUGAGUGACCUCAGUGGCCCAUUUGUGUCCCUUUGAGAUUGUGUAUGUAAGUCUCGGGGAGCCAUCGGAACAUGUGCAGAGCAGAAGCCUAUGUUGCUGUUUCUCUAGAAAGCGUGACUCAGCUGCCUAGUUCUGAUUUGAUUUUUGAGACAGGGUCUUAUAAUACAGCCCGUGCUGGCCUCAAACUCACUAAUUAGCCCAGGCUGGCUCACAAUGGCAUCUCCUAUGAACAUCACCACACCCAGGUCAGUGUAGCUUUAAGGAACAGUGAUAAGCAUGCAAGCAGGAAUAGUUUCAAUGAUAAAAUCGAAGCACUUUGUAUAUUUUAUGCUAAUCUCUUUUAUGGAAUUCUCUUGCCAUAUUAAAUCUGAUGUGUGGGUUUCUGGUAUA